UACCUGCCUCUAAUGGGUUCCUCAGUCCACACGCACCUGCCACUAACGGGUUCCUCGCUCCAUACACACCUACUGCUAAACGGUUCCUUGCUCCACACAUACCUGCCUCUAGUGGGUCCUCAGGCCACACGCACCAGCAGCAAAAGGGUUUUUCGCUCCACAUGCACCUGCCGCUAACAGGUCCUAUCUUAUCAUCCUUUGGCUAGUGCCUUUCAAGCUGCAGGAAGGCGAGGUGCGGAUCAUCUCCCUAAACCAGUGCCAGUCUUACUUUGACAUGAAGACCAUCACGUCCCGCAUGCUGUGUGCCGGGUAUGAGUCAGGAACUGUCGACUCUUGCAUGGGAGACAGCGGAGGUCCUCUGGUCUGUCAGGAAGUGGACGGUCGCUGGAGUCUCUAUGGCCUGACUUCCUGGGGGUCAGUUUGCUUUUCAAAAGUCCUGGGACCUGGAGUCUACAGUAACGUAACCCACUUUGUGGAGUGGAUUGAGAGACAGAUUUAUCUGCACACCUUCCUCAUUGAUUAAGCCCUAGUGGAAGCACUUUCGGCUAAAGAUGGAAGGCAGAACCCUGAAGAGGGAGUAAUGUUGAGACUGAGCACUAAUUAAUCAUGGUCACUUGUGCAGGGAUCUGAAGGUGUCCCUGUUGUCAGUGUGCUCAAUGAUCAUUCCAAGAUGUGCUCAGAAAUCCCAAAACCAAAUGGAGGAAAGUAUGACUUUAAAUCUGAGCCAUUUUACAGUUUAAUCAGCUUUUGGAAGUAACAAUCGCUAUAUUCCAUUGUUGAAGAUGCUAAGUCCUGCACAUCUUGGAAAGCAGCUGGUGAACUGUUCCUCGUGAUGGAUUCUGACCCGUACAACUAGACCGUUAAAUGAUGGGCUGAUUUUCCAGAAUGGAAGAUGUCUUUAAAAGAAGAUAGGAAGGAAGCACAAACAGACAAGUACUAUGAGGUGUGCAUCAAAUAAUAUAAACUGCUGUUCACAAUGACAGCCAAUAAACCAACUUUUUGCCAGAUCAGGAAGACUGUUAGGUCCUUUUAAAUGUUGUUUGGCUGUUGUCCAAAAUUACAGAGACCUACUAUCAGCAGUAGUUUAGAUUAUAUAACUUCAAUAAAAGUGCUUUGCUCCUGCUAUGCAGUUAUAUGUGAAUAUAAUGGUUUAUAGGAUCUGUAGUCACUGCCACUAUUUUUCAUUUGUAUUGUUGCAGCGCAUGUGUGUAUGUAUGUGUGUAUAUAUAUACACACUCUAUGUUCUCCUGUAACAUGUUCCUGAGAAACCUCGUGAUGAACAAAUUCAUGCUAUCGAAUCCACAGGUACCAUGGGGUUGGGGCAGAACUCUCCAUCCAUUCACCUUUUGUAAUCGCUUGUUCAAUUCAGGGUCACCGGGGGUCCGGAGCCUAAACCGGAGGCCUUAGGUACAAGGCAGGGAGCAGCCCAGCAUGGCGCACCUGCAAAACACUCAAAAACCUGAAAAUAACAAUAGCACAGUUUUAUAAAUACUAAGUAGCUAAUAAAUGGGUAAAUCCUACAAUAAAUAUGGCACUUUACCUUGAAGUCGAUUCCUUCAUACCUGUUGCUUUUGUAAUGUUUUGUCCCCCCAUUCCAUUCAAAACGCUUUAACAUUUCAAGCUUUUCCUCAAUAACAUUAGCUUGCCACUGACUGACUGCUCGGCUACUUGGAACCAGGAUGCUUAGAUGUGUUUUGGGUUUUGUUUCUGUUUAAAGUUAUGAAAUGUGGAUGAACAGCAGAGCAAACACUUGUAGUUUAAGACACACAGUGAACUGAUGCAGUAAUUGGCCAUUUCUGGUGUUGGCAUUUUCUGCGUUUACUUGGUGCCUGUAUCAUGCAGCGAGAUUUGUUUGUUAGCUACAUAACACGUCGGAUUUAAGGUAGUCUGGGCUAAAUGUAAGUGAAAGUGAACGAAGAUAAAGUCCAUUUAAACCUUAAAUCUGACAAGUUAUCUAGCUAACCAACAAAUCUUGCUUUGUGAUACAAGCCUCGAGUAUUUUUUUGCAGAUGAAACUGCACAUAAAAAAACACAAACAAAGCGCUAUACUGUAAAUGUUUCCUAAUAUAUCGAUUGCUCUGGAGUAAAUUAGUAUUUUCAAAUCAUGCUUUAUAGGAGACCAUACUGUGUAGCUAUGUCUUUGUAAACAGUUAAAUAAAUAAAUUGUGUUGAUAUUCGUUUUUUAUAUUUUCAAAUGGUAGAUGAUGGUAAAUGCCUGCCUAUAUAUUAAACUAAUAGUGUUUUAAAAACCAUUCCUUGAAAAAUCAUAUACAUGUGCAGCAUUAAUUUCUCUUCUCCGAUGGAGUAGCGUGAUGUGUUUGGAAGGACUGUCUAACUAAAGGCCUUUUCUAACUAACUGCGUCUAUUUCUAAUGACACAUUUAUUACUGGCUACUGCAGACACGAUUGUGACAUAAACAACAAAUUCAACCCCCUAAUUUCUCUCAUUUUUAUCAUGCAUUCUUGGGAUUUGGGCCUGUGCAAAAGGCAUUUCUCUCCCAGAAACAUAACAUUGAUUACAUACAUACAAGCACUCUAAACAGGUCAACAAUAUUAGGUUAAUUGGAGCUUCAGCAAAGUCUCUCCUUUAUAAAUAUGUGAAGUGACUAUAUUAACAUGUAAAGGCCUUGGAAUCUGCUGGCUUCAGUUUGAAUUUUGUAUGUUUAGUCACAAAUACUAUGUAUACUAAAAUAUUUAAAACAUUCUAGCGAAAAAUUUGCUACACUAUGCAAAUGGUAAUCAUGAAAGAUAAUAAUAAUAAUAAAUAAAUGCUGUUACUAACAGGUAGUAAACAUUUUAGCUGGUGAAGUAUUUUAGAUUUUCUUCCAGAUUCUAGAUUCGUACCGAUGCUUUGUGAAUCUGAAACGCGUGGAUGACUUAUGCCAAAGUCAAAAACCUUUUUAUUAUUAUUUUUAUGUGUAUAUGUGCUUGUGUGAAAAUGCUCCACUCUGAAAGAGACAGAUGCAGAGAUGUUGAUGCUAUUAGAAUGUGUGUAUUUUGUAUGUUCAUGUAUUUGUCUGUGUUCAUGUAGAUGUGCGCCUGAUUGUGUGUUUGUAUCUGUCAGUAGGUAUCUAUCUAUGUGCAUAGAUUUAUGCUUAAAUGUUUCAAUGUAACAUUCCACUUAAAGACAUGUUGUUUGUAUUUAUUUUUUUUUUGUUUUGAAUAUUUUUCUACUGCUUUUGUAUGUGUUCUCAUGAAAAUGUUCUUGGUCCCCAAACCUAACUUUCAAAUUUUAGAAUUCUUUUCAAGUGUAAAUGACUUGAAAAUGGAAUAUUUGCAUUUACAGAGGACAUAACAAACUUAUUAUUUAUAUCUUAACAAUAAACUUUGUGAACACAAA
Non-coding RNA from Paramormyrops kingsleyae, 3339 nucleotides. The record is from RefSeq and is a predicted model, not a curated record. NCBI's taxonomy places the organism in Eukaryota, Metazoa, Chordata, Actinopteri, Osteoglossiformes, Mormyridae.